UCCACAUUUGCUGUCGAGAUACUCUUGCCAGCCCUGAUUGUGGAGCCCUUCAGUCUGGUUUGCAAGGGUGAAGCUAUCUGGAUUCUAUAAAGCACAAAUUUUGCCUAGUUCACAGGCAUUCUUUUUCUCCUAAAUCAAUCACUCUUUGUGCUACUUGCUGGAUUGCUGCAUCUGCUGUAAACAAAUGGUUUAGAAGGGCUAUCAGUAUACCAUAUUGGUUAGAGGGAGCUUGCUGUAAAAUCAGAGCUCUCAUCCCAGCUGUAAAUAUCUGGGUAAUUCCCCUUUGAGGGAAUUGGAUUUCCCCCAUCCAAACCAUCACAGGAUGUUUUUCAAGAAAGUCAUUUUCAGUUCAGGAUUCCAGAUACUUUCCCUGGAGUCCUGCCUGUGAUGGCAAUUUUUUGUUAUAGGAAGCAGCAAAACUAUUUCUGAGGAGUUCUUUGCGAUGCCAGGCUAAGUAUUAUUGGGGAUAUCCAUCAUCACAUAUAGGAAAAAGUUGGCUCUCCCAGCUGGUGCUGCAGGUCUCUGGCCAUGGAACGCUCCUUCCCAGGAAGUAAGAUGAGACAUUCUUCCUUGAGAGGCCAGCCCUUAAAUGAGCCCAGAGACCCAGCUUUCAAUCACACAGGAAGCACAGGUAAAUUGUUUGCACCUGUGCUUCCUCAGCUAGCCUCUCACUUUUUUAUUUUUCACUGUGCAGUGUACAAACCUUUUAUUCCAUUGGUUUACAACAGUCUGUCAGCUUGGUCUGUCUUCUGACAAGCUGUAAAAUAGUUUUCUAGGUUCAAGCACUUAACAUCCAUGGCUCCAGUAUAUUUUCAAAUAUAACAAUCUGCCAGUUCAUGCUCUUUGCAUUUCCUUGCUUAUUUCAUUCUUUCACAUUGCAGGUCUUGAGAAACUGUCCUUCCCCUUUUCAGCCCACAUAAACUCUCUUGAUUCUGUGCCUGUGUAGCCUUGUUGGCUAAGACUGCUCAGAUCUUUCUGAAGAUACUUUCUGAAGUCUUUCUCCUCUCCCACUGCUGAUAUAUUUGCCAGGCACCAAGAGGCAGCAAACUGUUCAAUCCCUUACAGCAUGGGUCUCCAAACUUUUGCCUCUCCUUGGCCACAUAUAAAACAUAUAACAUAAUUAAUAUGUGUAAGUUAAAAAAAGUAUUUAUUUGUAUAUUUUUAAAUUAAAAAAUAGAGAAAUAGCAACACAAAUGUAGUGGGAUACUUGGCCUUGUUUAUUGAAGCUAAUUCAUCAAGAUCUAGUUUUGUAGAAGUCGUCACAGUUCUUUGCGAGUUAUCAAGAUCCUCAUCAGUGAUUUUUGAUCUGAUUUUGUUCUUCCUUUGUUUCACCUUUGAAAACGGUUUCUCACAAGUGUGUGUACUGCAAAAAAGCAACGACAUGAAGAUGGCAGGAUUGUGAAGCGAAGGAUAUUUUUCCCAGGUAAUAAUAAUUCAGCUGUGAUUGCGGAGCUGUACCAGGAAUGCAACAACAUGAUUGGCAGCAUACACAGAGAUUUGGAGUCACCGCUAAUGAAUGCAGAGUAAAGAAGUAACUCUGUAAAGGCAUACGUCCUCAGAAUUUAAUGUACAUUGAGGUCCAUUUAUCUUCAAAUACACACAUGCUACAGAUUGUCAAGCCAGUGUAUUUAUUCUGCUUGUAAGUGGUUGUGAUUCACUUCAGACCAUACAGUGAGCUAGAAAGGGGCAAAUCUUAAGCGAAAAGAUUUUGUACGCUUCCCUUUAUAUCAUGUAGUCAAAAUUAUAUUUGUAUGCAAUGUUGUGAGGCUGAAUGCAGAAAUCUGUCACACUGAACAGUGCUGCUUUCAUAAUGAAUGUUAAUGUACCCCUGUAUUGAGAUAUUGGGCACAACAGUUUAAAAACAUUGCAAGGUCAGCUGUAGGCUGCUCUUAGAAAUGCUUAUGAUACAAAUUGUUUUCCAAAUAACAGGGGAAGUUUGGAAUUUCUUGCCAGUUAAAAUCAUAGAAUCAUAGGAUGGAUUGCAUUAGGAAUUGGCUGUAUGGACGCAGCCAAAGGGUUGUGAACAGUGGUUCUGUGUCAGGGUGGAGGUCGAUCACAAGUGGUGUCCCUCAGGGGUAGGUCUCGGGACUGGUGCUCUUCAACAUCUUUAUCAAUGACAAGUGAUGGCAUUGAGUGCACCCUCAGCAAGCUUGCAGAUGACACCAAGCUGAGCAGCUGUCAUGGUUUUGUAACUUCGCUAUUGGUAUUCCACAUCAUAACAUCAUGGACAAAAGAAAAGAACUACGUGACAGCAGUGCAGUUGAUAAGUUGGAAGGAAGGGAAGCCAUCCAGAGGGACAUGGACAGGCUGGAGAAGUGGACCCAUGAAAACCUUACGAAGAUUCAAAAAGGCCAAGUGCAGGGUGCUGCACUUGGGUUGGGGCAAUCCGAGGUAUUUAUACAAACUGGGGGAAAAUCUUGAGAGCAACCCUGUGGAGAAGGACUUGGGGGUCCUGGUAGACGAGAAGCUGAACAUGAGCCAACAGUGUGCACGUGCAGCCCAGAAGGCCAACUGUGUUCUGGGCUGCAUAAAAAAAGGGGUGGCCAGAAGGGAGAGGGAGGUGAUUGUGCCCCUCUACUUGGCUCUUGUGAGGCCCCAUCUGCAGUACUGCAUCCAGGUCUGGGGCCCCCAGCACAGGAAGGAUGUGGAGCUCUUGGAGUGGGUCCAGAGGAGGGCCACUAAGAUGAUCAGAGGGCUGGAGCACCUCUCCUAUGAGGAAAGGCUGAGGGAACUGGGCUUGUUUAGCUUGGAGAAGAGAAGGCUCUGGGGAGACCUCACUGAGGCCUUCCAGUACUUGAAGGGAGUGUAUAAACAGGAGGGGGAACGGCUGUUUACAAGGGUGGAUAGUGAUAGGGCAAUGAAAUGAUCCAAUGAAUAGGGAAUGGUUUUAAACUGAGACGGGAGAAGUUUAGGUUAGACACUAGGAGGAAUUUUUUCACCCAGAGGGUGGUGAUGCAGUGGAACAGGUUGCCCAAGGAGGUUGUGGAUGCCCCAUCCCUGGAGGCAUUCAAGGCCAGGCUUUUCAUUCUUCUUUUGUUAAGUAAUGUCCUAUAGAUACUGGCAUUUAUAUCCUAUGUUUUUUUUUUGUUUUUUUUUUCCAAUAACUGGAUGUGCUGAGAUCUCUGUAACUGAAACCAAACCCUGUUGGUGAAGGACCUCUACCUCUGUCUUAUUUAGACUGUCAACAUUCAACAAUGAAAUGUAACUGUCAAUUUUUUUUUUUUUCUGACUAAACCUGCUGAUUUGUUUUCUAUCUCACUUUAAAUAUAUGGUGUUUCACUUUAAAUAAAUUUAUUGGCUUCUGUGCACAUUUAAAAAC
Long non-coding RNA from Gallus gallus (chicken), 3319 nucleotides. RefSeq lists it as uncharacterized. NCBI's taxonomy places the organism in Eukaryota, Metazoa, Chordata, Aves, Galliformes, Phasianidae. The record is from RefSeq and is a predicted model, not a curated record. The transcript is spliced from 2 exons.